Long non-coding RNA from Gasterosteus aculeatus aculeatus (three-spined stickleback), 1920 nucleotides. Lineage: Eukaryota; Metazoa; Chordata; Actinopteri; Perciformes; Gasterosteidae. The record is from Ensembl.
ACCUCGUCGCUGUGUGACGCCUGACUGACAGUCUGUGGUCGUCUGUAAGUAGUGAUAGAAGAAGAAGAGGUGCUCCAUGUGGACAUGAAGGACAAAGCUGUGUGUGAGAGUGAUGUAAUGUCCAUGUCUCCAUGCUGCUCUGACCCCCCUCCUCCUUUCAGGGUGGAGCCUGAUGGAGUCCGAUGGUUGAGACCAGGUCAGAGGAAGUGUAAGUGUGCUUUUAUUCAUGAAGAUUCAACCAUCUUCCCACUGUGACAUAACUCAUUCACCUCUGUGACGGGGGGGGGGGGGGGGGGGGGGCGGACCACACAGAGGAGACUAAGGUGUGUCCCCGUCUGUGCCACAUCUGUGCCACAUCAUGUUGUCAUCGGGCCGAAGCGGGAAAAAAAAGGGACACGGCCCAAAGUUUUGUUUGGUGAACUGAAACCAUAAACUCUCCCACCAAAAGGUUUUCAGGUAUAUAUUUAGCUUUAAGGGCCGUGGUGGCUUAAAAUCGUAUUAUUUUUUAUUUCUUUAUGGGAAACAACUUGAUACUCUUCUCGGUUUAACAACAGUAGAAGCAGGUGACUAAAUUGGCCAGAUAUGAGUGCAAACAAUGCUUGUUGGUCUACUUUUUUGCCCUUUGUAAUUAUGCUCUUUGUUCAAACUAUGCACUCUCUUUGCUUAUGACCACUAGUAUCUACCACAGACUUUUUUUUCCGCCCUUCAUAAAUAGGUUUGUUUUGUUUCCUUUUUUUUUUAAAUCUUCAAAUGACUUGAACCAGUUAUGUUAAGAUAACUCAUUAUGCUUGUAGAUCUUUGGCUUUAUUUGUCAUUGGGAUGCAGUACACCCAAAAUUUAACACUUUCCUCUCAAUAAAUACGAGAAACAAUUUUGUAAAUUUCCAGAACCAGCAGUGAUUCUGCCAUUGUUUCCUUUCAUUUCAGUUUGUAGAUUUCCGUUUGUUUGUCUGUUUAUUUGUUUUCACGGUCUUGUCAAACCUGUGUAAGGAUAAGAGGAUAGAAGUUAUAUUGGUUUUUAUGUCAAUAAAUUCAAGUUUACUGUGGCCAUCCACUCUUGUAUGUCUUUUGAAGCAUUAAAACCUAUUUGUAUGCAUGAAAUUGUAAAGUUUUUUUCUCGUGUUAUGAUAUCCAGCCCACGUGUUAUUGAUCGGGAUACAUCGGUUCUUCAAUGAUGAAUAAAGGGUCAUGUCCACAAUUGUGAAGUGGAGAGAAAAUGAUGAACUUGUAACUUACCAAAGCCAAUGUUCGUUUGUAGUAUAUUUAUUGUAUUAUUUAAAAUAAAAAAAUAAACAUUAAAUGAUACCAUAGUUUAAGUGUAAGAGGCCCCCUCUUUACAUGCACACAGGACAACGAAAGGUUUUGUUAAAAAAAAGUGAUAUAUUCACCACAUUUCUUGUUACUGGAGCCUUUCGCGAAGCGUUUGGCAACAUCUGUUUUAAGAUACAGCUGUGCUUGUGAGGUUUGCUAGAUGAAUGACAGGUAAGGCUACUGUCCACUCAGCCUCGUGGACGGUUGGUCGUGUCAAACAGCCGCGGGGCUGCGGCCUCGUGAUCGGGACGUGCGGCUUCCCCUCCCGUCGACUCUUCUCCGGCCGAAGAACCGGCCCCAAGAACCGGCCCCGAGAACCGGCCCCGAGAACCGGCCCCGAGAACCGGCUUGCAGAGCACCACUGCCGCCGUGGAAGCUGCAUCAUGACUCUUGCAGCGUUAUGCAUUUCUCCAUAACCUUUCUCAGCGAUCAUUAAAAUAAACCUAUUCUUAUUUUAACUCCCUCAUUCAGAAAUGUGUAAUAUUUGGUGCUGAUGACUUGCAGCACUUCGAAUGUCUGAUUAGUGGGAAAAAGUGCACGUUAAGCUUAGCACAGCAAAAGAAACCGAAAAAAAAAAGUUGUUGAGCGUGAUGAUCAAUAUUUAAUGCCG